This 631-nucleotide long non-coding RNA is filed under the name Cicer arietinum (chickpea). RNAcentral describes it as "long non-coding RNA (CARI_LNC001014)". Lineage: Eukaryota; Viridiplantae; Streptophyta; Magnoliopsida; Fabales; Fabaceae. The record is from RNAcentral.
CAUUCAAAGACGAACGUAGAAAUAUAUAUAAAAAGAAACAUAUAUAAAUUGCUUGAUAUUUCUAAUACGUAGAUCAUAUUGUAAUUAUCAUUUAUCUGAAGUAGCCUCCAACAACAUAACUGAAUAGUCUAUAAUCUAUUAUACACAAAUAGAAACAUUAAGUACGAUUAUACGUAUACAUUAAUUGACGAAAGCUUAAAAUUGUAUAUUCGUGAAUAACAUGAAGAACAUUUUGGCAAGAGGCUAAAGAUCAAGGAGCAUUCACUACUUUGUUGGUUGAGGAACAUGCGGAUUCAAGAGGCUGAUAAUUAAUAUACUUUUGGUAAACAACCUUCCACAUUUCUACCUUGGAAAACUCUUCCUCCAAUAUUGUCUUUCUUAGGCUUCAAGUUUAUGAAUUUAUCAACAUUUUCUUCCAAGGGUCUUGUAGCAUCUACACAAAGGGGUGUAAUAUUUGAAGGAGGAUUCAAAAGUAAAAUGAAAAGAAGCAUAAAUUUGGAUAUUGCAAUUAUGGACAUUUUGGUAGCUAUAGUGUUUGAAAUGAUUAUAUAGGAUUAUGAAAGGUUAUUGAAGUUUGUGUAUUGGUUUGGAUGUAAGGAGGUCUUAAAUAGGGUCAUGAGAUGUGUAGAUA